This is a long non-coding RNA of Neopsephotus bourkii (Bourke's parrot), 1076 nucleotides long. RefSeq lists it as uncharacterized. The record is from RefSeq and is a predicted model, not a curated record. NCBI's taxonomy places the organism in Eukaryota, Metazoa, Chordata, Aves, Psittaciformes, Psittacidae. The transcript has 2 exons.
GCCAAAUAAGGAUGCACAGUGUAUUGGGAACUUCCUCCUUUUACUGACUUUCCUAACACCUGCCCUUACAAGAUCCCCAGUGCUACCCACAUUUACCUACUAGCACUUGGCUGUCUCAAAUUCUCUUAAAAGAAAGAAUGGAGGAAAGAAAACGGGCCUUCUGUCAUUGAAACUCACACCUCUGAUGAUGUCUAUUGCAAGCAGUCUGCUGGGGGGGGUACAACACUGCCUCAGAAUCUCAGUUUCAGAUAGCUUGUGUCCUGAGCCACCACACUGGCUCAUUGUUUACAGUGCCAAGGGUUUCAUAACACUCCUCCAGUCUGGGGCGUAGAUUGGAUGCUAAAACUAUUUUUAAAACAAUGCCAUCCAUUUCAGGUUUAUAGCACAUGCCAACAAGUAUGUUAGAUAGGUCUCAGCUUGCUAGUAAAAUGGCUCAAUUAUUAUUUCAGUUCUUGAAAGACAGUCUGUGCAGUAUAUUAAAAAAAUACCCAACAACAACAAACCCCAACACAUUAGGAACUGUUGUUAAGGAAAUACUAUUGCCCCUGCUUCUAAAUUUGUUGCCAUUUAAACUGUAAUAGGAUUAGUAAAUAUUUAUCUAGUUGAUGUUCAAGUGUGUAUAUAUGUAUUAGUCCAGGGGACAGAGAGGCUACUGUGAAAUAAUGUCUCUCUGAUAGCUAGAGGCUCUCCAAAGUGUUUCACAUCUAAUCUCCAGAUCAGAGAAUGCUUAGAUGGAAGGUCAGAACUGCUCUUUACAUCCUUUCUUCUGCAGCAGGAAAAAAGGGGAAUGAAAAUGAAGGUAUAUUAUGCAGAGUUCAGAAGGAGACUUUGUCACAACGCCUUCUUCCUGGAAAUCUGACGCCUCCCACUGGAAACCAGACAUUUUAAAAUGACUUCUGACUAUUCAAAGAUUCUGGACCACCCAGUUCAGCAUUCCUUUAGUGGAAAAUCACAAUUUCUAGUUCUGAGUAGGUUUUCAUUUAGGAACACUGAUUAGAUUUAGAAACACUGAUUAUAUAUUUUUAAAGGAUAAAUGUGGCCAUAUUAGAAAUAAAACUAAAGAUACCUUAAAAGUA